CCUGGCUCAGAUUGAACGCUGGCGGCAGGCCUAACACAUGCAAGUCGAGCGGUAGCACAAGAGAGCUUGCUCUCUGGGUGACGAGCGGCGGACGGGUGAGUAAUGUCUGGGAAACUGCCUGAUGGAGGGGGAUAACUACUGGAAACGGUAGCUAAUACCGCAUAACGUCUUCGGACCAAAGUGGGGGACCUUCGGGCCUCACGCCAUCAGAUGUGCCCAGAUGGGAUUAGCUAGUAGGUGGGGUAAUGGCUCACCUAGGCGACGAUCCCUAGCUGGUCUGAGAGGAUGACCAGCCACACUGGAACUGAGACACGGUCCAGACUCCUACGGGAGGCAGCAGUGGGGAAUAUUGCACAAUGGGCGCAAGCCUGAUGCAGCCAUGCCGCGUGUGUGAAGAAGGCCUUCGGGUUGUAAAGCACUUUCAGCGAGGAGGAAGGGUAGUGUGUUAAUAGCACAUUGCAUUGACGUUACUCGCAGAAGAAGCACCGGCUAACUCCGUGCCAGCAGCCGCGGUAAU
This 517-nucleotide ribosomal RNA is filed under the name uncultured bacterium. RNAcentral describes it as "bacterial SSU rRNA". It matches the Rfam family "Bacterial small subunit ribosomal RNA", at positions 18 to 524 of the family's 1533-position model. The record is from RNAcentral.